AUGGCGGCCUCUCUCCUCCACGCAGCCGCCUCCUCCCCGCUCGCGGGCCCCUACCCGGCCGCCCGCGCGGCCUUCCGCCCCCUCGCUUCCUCCCCAUUCCUGCGCCUCGCGCGCUCCUCUCCCGACCGCCGUGCCCGACUGGACUUCCCGCUCCGGGCGCUCUCGGGUGGCGCUCGCCUCUCCACCGGAGUGGCCGCCCUCCGUCCUCGCCGCUUCGUCGCCGCCCUCGCGGGGGAGGAACCGAUGAGUUCAGAAUUGGGUGAUGACAAGGAAAAGGAAACGGAAAAGAUCGAAAUAGAGCCCGAGGAGGCCCAGGAAGUGUGGAGGGAAAUGCUCAAGCAGUUCAAGGCCGAGGCCAUCCGAAUGCAGGCCCUGACAACGCAGGCAUACGAUGUCUACUCCAAGAGGGCGAGGGAGGUGCUGUUAGAGGCCUCAGAGAAGCUAAGGAUCCAGGCAGAUAAAGCACAAAAGGACCUGACCAUUAUCGCUGCAGAGGUUGGUGAGGAGGGGCAGGAAUAUCUACAGCUGGCAGCUAAGAACUCCCCAGAUUCAAUCAAGGAUAUCACCGAGACAAUCAAUGCAGUUGGCAACCUCAAUGGGCCAUCAGAGUAUAAGGAUUAUCAUGUCGGCAUUUCAUUUGGUACCUUUCUUACUGUAGGAGGUUUCCUGAACUUCAUGCUAACUGGAAGUACAUCUGCAAUUCGCUUUGGCUUUGUUCUUGGCUUUGCACUAUUGGCUCUGGGUAUCUCAAGUUUGAGAUCACAAAGAGCAGGCGGUCGUCAGCCUCGUCUUCUGCUGAAAGGGCAAGCUGCUAUUGCAAGCGUUAUCUUCUUCAAGGACUUGUCAGUUUUCUUCAGGUAUGGGUGGUUUCCAAAUGUUUUCGCGGUCCUUCUCAGUGGAAUGGUGGCGACCUUUUACAUUCAUCGCAUUGUGACUGGUGGCCACAAAGGUCGCGCGGAGAGCAGUUCAGAUAACUAA
RNAcentral lists this ribosomal RNA (978 nucleotides) under Triticum aestivum (bread wheat). RNAcentral's name for it is "partial small subunit ribosomal RNA". The record is from RNAcentral. Lineage: Eukaryota; Viridiplantae; Streptophyta; Magnoliopsida; Poales; Poaceae.